GUGCUCACUUCAGCAACACACAUACUAAAAUUGGAAUGAUACAGAGAAGAUUGUCAUAACCCCUGCACCAGGAUGACACACAAAUUUGUAAAGUGUUCCAUAUUUUU
Small nuclear RNA from Jaculus jaculus (lesser Egyptian jerboa), 107 nucleotides. Lineage: Eukaryota; Metazoa; Chordata; Mammalia; Rodentia; Dipodidae. The record is from Ensembl.